AGCUCAGGAGCAGGACACAUGACCAGUCAGGUGGUGAGACCAGUGACAGUUGGGAGAAAGUGUUGGUUGGUGAGAGCUGAGCUGAGGUAAUCUUGAGAGGAGAGCUAUGCCAUCAAGUGUGUGCUGAGGUGGCGUGGGGGUGAUGGAGGAGAUGGAGGCAGACCUUCCUACCACAAUGGUGGUCAGAGAGAUGGCUUUACCCCCAUGAAAGGAGCACUCAUGCAUCAUACUCAUCAAGGACAGAUCCUGAAACACCAAGAUCCUUCCACAACACCGUGCAGACACCACCAUCUUGGACUUUGCGUCAACCGGUGCCUGACAUCACAAAAAGGCACACUAGUUCUGCAUGUAAAUGUAAUAUAAAUUAAUCUGAGCUCAGUGGAAGUUGAAUACUACUACUUGUGCAACUUUGAUCCAAA
This is a long non-coding RNA of Pseudophryne corroboree (corroboree frog), 419 nucleotides long. RefSeq lists it as uncharacterized. The record is from RefSeq and is a predicted model, not a curated record. The transcript has 2 exons. Lineage: Eukaryota; Metazoa; Chordata; Amphibia; Anura; Myobatrachidae.